RNAcentral lists this ribosomal RNA (430 nucleotides) under Pseudomonadota bacterium. Its description in RNAcentral is "Proteobacteria bacterium partial 16S ribosomal RNA". It matches the Rfam family "Bacterial small subunit ribosomal RNA", at positions 355 to 776 of the family's 1533-position model. Lineage: Bacteria; Pseudomonadati; Pseudomonadota. The record is from RNAcentral.
UGGGGAAUAUUGGACAAUGGGGGGAACCCUGAUCCAGCCAUGCCGCGUGUGUGAAGAAGGCCUUAUGGUUGUAAAGCACUUUAAGCGAGGAGGAGGGUACUGGUAUUAAUACUACCAGGUACUGGACGUUACUCGCAGAAUAAGCACCGGCUAACUCUGUGCCAGCAGCCGCGGUAAUACAGAGGGUGCGAGCGUUAAUCGGAUUUACUGGGCGUAAAGCGUGCGUAGGCGGCUAAUUGAGUCGGAUGUGAAAUCCCCGUGCUUAACUUGGGAAUUGCAUUCGAUACUGGUUAGCUAGAGUGUGGGAGAGGGUGGUGGAAUUCCAGGUGUAGCGGUGAAAUGCGUAGAGAUCUGGAGGAAUACCGAUGGCGAAGGCAGCCAUCUGGCCUAACACUGACGCUGAGAUACGAAAGCAUGGGGAGCAAACAGG